Molecule: ribosomal RNA, 301 nt
Filed under: uncultured bacterium
Lineage: Bacteria
Description: partial 16S ribosomal RNA
Rfam family: Bacterial small subunit ribosomal RNA
Source: RNAcentral
CAGCAGCCGCGGGAAAACGGAGGGUGCAAGCGUUAAUCGGAAUUACUGGGCGUAAAGCGCACGCAGGCGGUCUGACAAGUCAGAUGUGAAAUCCCCGGGCUUAACCUGGGAACUGCAUUUGAAACUGUCAGGCUGGAGUCUUGUAGAGGGGGGUAGAAUUCCAGGUGUAGCGGUGAAAUGCGUAGAGAUCUGGAGGAAUACCGGUGGCGAAGGCGGCCCCCUGGACAAAGACUGACGCUCAGGUGCGAAAGCGUGGGGAGCAAACAGGAUUAGAGACCCCCGUAGUCCCUGUCCUUAUACC